GGGAAGGUGGAGGUGCCAGAUGCCUCCUCCACUUCAGUGGUCACUGCUGAGAGUGCUCCUUGGGAAUAUCAGAUGGAAGGGUCUUUGAGGAAGGAUGACUUCCUCUGGAGUACGGAGGAGCAGGUCAAAGAAUUUAGGCAUAUAUCACUGGGGUCCAGGGAUUUGCAGGCAAGGUGCCUGAGGACUCGUGGGUAGCCAGCAUCACUGCAGCCUUCAGAAAGGGUGAGAAGGAGGGCCUGCGCAACUGUAGGCUGUUCAGGAUCACCUCCCUCCCUGGCACUGAAAUGGGACAGCUUGUUCUGGAUGUCAUCUCUAAGGAGCGGUCAUGGUGGAUUCAGCAAGAGGAAGUGAUGAUGGACUGACCUGGUAGCUUUCUGUGUUGUGACUGUCUGGUUGGAUGAGAGAAGGGCAGUGGAUGUUGUGGGGUGGAAUAUCACUCCUGUCAGUAAAUAUCUAAGUGUGGAGUUGAUGGGAGUGGGCUUGUGCAGGCACAGAUGGAAGGUAUGUGGUGGUAGAAUGGGGGUAAUGUUCACAGGCUGGAACACUGGUGGUUCUAUAGAAACAGAGGGAAGAUGGGUUUCACUGUGAGGGUGAUGGAAUAGGCUGUGGGGUCCCCUUCCCUGGGGAUUUAAGUUGCACCUGGCUGUUUUUGUGGGUGAUAUGCUAUGUAGGGAGGCUGCAUGAUCUGUUCACAGGGUGAGCGCCACAGUGGAGCAUUGAGGAUCAGCCUGAGGAAGGAUGUGAGCUGUCUGACCUGCCUACCUGGUGGCCCUUCAAGAAUGUGUUUGAGUUCUUCCUGCAGGUUCAGGUGUGUGGCAGGCCCACUGGUGGUGCUGGAGUUGUUUCAGUCUUCCAGGGCUGUUGUCUUCCCUUGGAUUGCGGUGCAGCUGGUGUGCCAGGAGGAAGGUCCCCAUCCUGGGUGCUGCAGAACUGUCAGGAGUAGCUCCUGUGUGGUGACUGCUCUGUGGUGGUGCUUCUGGUCCUGAAGGUGGGAGAUGGAGUGAGGAGGAGCUGGGUUCUGUGUUCCUGCUGAAGGAGAAAAUUCAUUUCAUUUCAAACCUCAGUGUUUGCCCCCAAAAUACUGGUGACUAACCUUACUUCUGUGGAGCGGAAAGUGGGUGAAGAUGCAUCCCUUUUGUAGAAGAAUGAGUGGCUUGUGAUGGCUUUCCGGGAAGACUGAUCUGCUGCAGGUAACCUGAGCUACUGCUUCACUGCACAACCCUUUGGAUUGAAUUGUGAAUAAGAAACCAUACUGGAUCAGAAGGGACUUGCAACUCUGGGAGACUGCCUGGACUCCAACUGCUAUGGCUGGGAGCAGCAUCCAAAUGCUUUGUGAACUGUCAGCCAUGGGCUGUGACUGCUGUCUCAGAGAAGCCUGUUUUGCUAUCUCACCCCUCUUUCUGACAAGUUUUUCUUCAUCUGCAACCUCUACCUUCUCUGACCUCUACAGCCUCCUUUCAGCUUAAAAAGAGAGGGAAUUUGAGCCUUCCUUGGAUGCUCGCUGAGAGCUCUUAUGUUAUAUUGCAGGUUGCAGAGCUGCACACUAUGCUCACGGUGAGGCUUUACCUCCCUGGAGCAGUGUGGGAUGAUCCCUUCCUUUGUUCAGCCGGGUGUGCUGGGCCUGAGGUGCCCCAGGGUGUGGUCAACCUUCUAAAUGACCAGGCAUGCUGCUGACUUGAAUUUAACUUGCUGCCAACUGUGGCACCCAGAUUCCUUUCCCUGGGGCAGCUCUCUGACCUCAUUCCCCCCUGUUCUGUAUGGGUAGCUGGGGUUGGCCUGUCUCACAUACAGAAUCAGGUGCUGGCUGCUGACAAAAUUCACACAGUUGGUGACUGUAGGGCCUGCUACUGUGUAGAGUUUGCUCUGCAGAGCCUGUUUACCCCUGAGGAGUCCCCAGCUCCUCCAAAUUUAGUGUCAUCAGCAAAAAUACUUAAUAUGCAUUUGACUCCUGUGUCCUGAUCAUUUAUAGAAAUACCAAAGGGAACUGCCCCUGCCAAGAAGCCCCUGGAAUUUGACUGGAGCCUGGCUGCCAGCCUCACAUAAUCUCAUUUAAUUCAAACAGAAUUAAAUUAGAUUUAGAUUUAAAUUUAACAAAUACUUGGAGCUGCUUUGGUAGGGGACUGAGUCACUGCUUGCUGUUUGUUUGUCUUAAGAGGUAUAGUUAGGAAGGGCUGUUUUCUGACACAGCAUUUAGUUUCUGGAUCCCCUUACCUGACAAGAAUUUUCCUUACCUACUCAAAGAGAUAAUACACACUUGGAAUUACACCACAGGCAAAGAUGUCUUGUUUUUGAACAGAUGGAGUUAAUAAAUGCAUCCCUCUAAUAGAGGAAUGGAAUAAGAGCUGUCUUAUAGCAUUAAUAAAUUCAUAGCUACUGAAUAAAGUUAAAUAUUUUCAACCACUACAAUCUAAAUCAUUUCACUAUUCACAUUUUCUGCAUAGUAAGAUUACUGGGGUGUAUCCUACCAUUAAUAGUCAGAAUGACUGACCAAGAAGUACAGAUUGCCACAAUAAAACCUAAAGCUGCAAAAAACAAACAACAACAA
This 2545-nucleotide long non-coding RNA is filed under the name Gallus gallus (chicken). The record is from RNAcentral. Lineage: Eukaryota; Metazoa; Chordata; Aves; Galliformes; Phasianidae.